Molecule: long non-coding RNA, 5315 nt
Filed under: Sorghum bicolor (sorghum)
Lineage: Eukaryota; Viridiplantae; Streptophyta; Magnoliopsida; Poales; Poaceae
Description: long non-coding RNA (SBIC_LNC012680)
Rfam family: Plant small nucleolar RNA R71 (bases 1806-1912)
Source: RNAcentral
AAGAUGUGCAUGUGUGGCGAAUGUAUGGUGUAUGGUGAUGAUGGUGAUAACAAUGGUGAAAGUCUAAUUCUACUUUUGCUCUUUUAAGGGGAUACAUACCUUUCUUGCACUUAGAAGUUUUUUGGGGAGAAUGAGAUGCUCUAUAUUUUCUUUUUCUUACCUCUCAGGUGGGUAUCUUGUACCCCUAAUUCUACUGUCGGACACAUGUCCAUUUUUACCUCUCGUCUCACUUUUUCUUUUCUUCGAGGUUCCGGGCACUUGCCCCUUUUUAUUUCCUCGUAUAUUAUUUUUUUUUUCUUCUUUUUUUUCUCUUUUUUUUUCUUUCUAGAGCACUCAUCUCCUGAAAUAAUGUAGCAAGUGGUAGUAACCAAAAUAACUGGAGCAUUUAUUUCAUAGGGAAUAACAGGGAUAGGAAAAUGUUUUUGGCUAUUCUCUCCCGGAUUAGGAGUAGAAUAAUUUUGGGUAAAACUGGAGAUAGAAAUGAGUGGAUAUAUGUGGAUGGUACUUCCGGAGUAGAAGUAGCAUGUAUGAGUAAUCGUGCAAGUGAAUCUUGAUUUUAACCACAUGACAAGCUCCUAAGGGUCUACACAGCUUGACCACACUCAAUGCUCAUAAGCAGUAAAUAGUAAAUGUGUGGCUCAAGGUCUAGCAAGCAUGUAUAUAUGGCUGUGGUAGGAAUUUAAACACUCAUCAUACAGGAACUCAUCAUGCAACUCAUCAUACCGGUCUCUACCACUACGAAGUCUGCUGGGGCAUACAAGGUACCAACUCGGACACAAAGGUUCUGCACUAUUCCUUUUGGAAAACUUAUUGCCUGAUCUGCAAACUGCAAACACAUGGUUGUUUCUAAUAAAGGAUAUGUAAAGAUUUUUUCAUAGAGUACCCUGGGUAUAAUGUUGACGCUGGAGCCAAAGUCACAGAGUGCUUCUGGGACGUCCACCAUGCCGAUGGAGAUCGGGAUGACGGGGCGUCCUGGAUCGCCUCUCUUGACCGGCAGAAGGUCAGUAGUGAAUUCGGUGACGGGGUUACUCCAAUUACCUGCAUCAAACAUGUCUACAAGAUUUGCAGAUUCUAAUCCUUCCGGUUGUGAUGGUAUACCGGGGUUAGUAGUAGGAACAGCAGCAGCUAUUUGAUUUAACUGGGAUUCAAUCAUUUUAUUAAAGCUAAUUUGGUUCUUGAUGGCAGUAGAGGAAUUAUCCAUUCUAUUAUUUAUAUUUUCUAGCAUUUUAUCAUUAGAUGCCAAUUUCUUAGAUAGAUUAUCCAUUAGCUUUCCUUGAUUAGACACUAACUCUCUCAAAGGUGGAAAAUUAUUAGUAUUGUUGUAAGAAUUGUUACCUUGAUAAUUACCUGAGUAGUUACGCCUCUGUUGAUUCCAACCUUGGUUUGGUUGAGGACGGUUGUAGUAGCAGUUGUUGUUGUUGUUGAUGUAGUUCACAUCCUCAAGCAUCUCAGGGCAGUGAUUGCCUGAGUGUCUAGUAUCUCCACACUCCUCACAAGUCAUGUGAGAGUCGUAGAUGUGCAUAACUUCUUUCUUAUCUCCGGUUCUAUCGUAGAGCUUCUUCAUGAGCAGGUCUAGCUUUGCAGACAGCAUGUCUACCUCCUUGAGCUGAUGCAUACCUCCACCUCUCUUGCGUGUCUGGGUCCUUUCUUCAUUCCAGCCUUGAUUGGAUGCCAUCUUCUCCACAAGAGCUGUGGCUUGUGGUAUGGUAUGUGAUAAGAAUGCUCCUCCAGCUGCAGCAUCCAUGGUCUCUCGGGCACUGUUGCCGAGCCCAUGAUAAAACGUCUGCAUUAGUAGCCAACUCUCCAUUCCAUGAUGGGGACAUUCUAGGAUGUAAUCUUGAAAGCGCUCCCAUGCUUCUGGAACAGAUUCAUCAUUUUGUUGCUGAAAACAUGUAAUCUUCCCACGGAGAGCAUUGGUCAUGCCCAUGGGAAAGAACUUGGCCAGGAAGUUUGUUGAGCAGAGUGCCCACGUAGUAUUCUUCUCCUUUGUAGCGUAGAACCACUGCUUUGCUCUUCCUAACAGUGAGAAUGGGAAGAUGCGAAGUAGUAUAGCAUCUCUGGGGACUCCUGAUAUGGUGAAUGUGCUGCAAAUCUCCAAGAAGUGUUGGAGAUGAGCACUAGCAUCUUCGUGUGCCUUCCCACAGAACUGGUUGGAUUGCACCAUGUUGAUAAGUCCAGGCUUUAACUCAAAGUUGCCAUCGAUCUCUGCAGCAGGUCCAGUGCGGAUGUUGUCCGUAGUGGGAGCUGAGAACUCGCGGAUUGAUUUGUUUGCCAUGGCUUCGAAUUCUAAAGACAAGUUCCGGUGAUCUUCUUGAUUGGAUGAAGCUUCUUGUUGAAGUGUUGAUGAUCUCUUCUUGAGCUUGGCUCUCGUCUUCUUGAAUAAUGCUUCAGGAUUGUCAACAAAAUUUCCUGGAAGAUGUCUUCUAUUCAUACAUUUCCCUGCAUAAGGUAAAAUAGAAAAAUAUCGGGGUAAAACUGUAUGAGAGAAUAGAUAAGCUGAAUCAUAUUAGUGAUGCGAAUGAUAACUCAAAAUCCUUUAUUCUAUUCCUGAUUAGUAAUCAACCUUCCCCGGCAACAGCGCCAAAAAUGCUUGUUGGGUAUUCUUAACAUCAUUACCAAAAGUAGACUAAGUUCUCUAAAUCUAGUAACGGUGCCAAAAAUGCCAAACCUAUCCCUCAUACCACUUAAGACAAGUUGUCAUCCCCAGCUUGACAUGAGAGACGCGGUAUUGAAAUAUGCAAUUGCUCUUCUAAAUAAAUAAUGAAUGGGAUCUGCAAGCGCACAGAUUAAUACCGAUGUAGCAUUUUAACCGGGAAGUAUUCCAGGUAUUGUUAUUUAUAUUUUUACCACUGGGAAGGGAUUAACAAUCAUCAAUAUUGAUUACAGAAUAGAAUAUGAGAUUGAGUAUCUAUCAUUGCAUGUAUAAUUGAGAAAAUUUAUCUAACUCUUUCAUACAGGGAUAAGUGUCAAAGAUAUAUGAAGUAAUGAAUAGUGACAAAGAUAAUUAAUCUGAUCUAGCCACAUAAUAAAUAUGAUAAGCACCUCAAUUAGAUACUCUAGAAAGUCAUUAGCAUGGUAUUAGAACGAACUACAAGAAUAUUUCCUAAGUUAUUCUCAACUAUAUAGUCUAGCAUUAUCAUAGUUAGUGCAAGCAUACUUAGCAAUCAUUGCGAGACAAGACUACGCCCAUGCAUAGUGAUAUUAGCAAGGUAAAUGAGAAACAUAGCAAUCACUCCCCUGUAAUAAUAUUGCUCUGCCAGCCCAAUACAUAAGAGGGGGACUAUAUAAGAAUCAAUGAAGCUGUCACUAUCACGAACUACCCCACGAUCUGGCAUAUUGGGUACAAUCGCAGAUAAAUACGGUAUAAGCACCACGCCUACACAAUAUCUAUCAUUUACCUAUGGAUCCAAUGGAUAAACGCUAUACGAUCCUAAGCAUGUAUAUAGAUCCAAUCUAACUAAGCCAAGUAUAUAACUAUGAUAAACUAAGAACAAUAUAAUCAUGAAUAUAAACAAGUAGAGCAAAGUCAUAAGCAAUAUAUUGAAGUAGAACAAAGUCAUAUUCAUAAUAUUGAAGAACAAAGAUAAUUAGAAGAACAAUUAGAAGCACAAUUAGGGAAUUACCAAGAAUCCUCUUGACAGAUCCGGAAACAAAUCGAAGAUUGACUCCUUCUAGUUCUAAUCCUAUGUAGCUAUGCUAAUCUAGAUGUCUAAUUGAUGUGGUGGCUCUAAUCUUGAUCAGAGGCUUCUUCUCCCUUGAAGAACAAUGAAUUAGGGUUGAGAGGCUCUCUCCUCCAGGGGCCAGGGGGUCUGGUUUUAUAGUCCCUUCAAGUGAAUAUGGGACGUUGGAUCAAACCGACAUUGAUUGAAUGGUUAUCCUUGAUCCUUUAGGUCGGUGGAGAUCUCCCGAGAAACAGAGUCCUGAUUGGACUCAGAGAGGGGGGCGGGCGCCCUGGGCCUGGCCCCUUUCGGGCUCCGCUUCCUUCCCGUCGCUUCUGGAGUCUUCUAGAUGGUAGAAAAUUGCGCGGUGGGUUGAUAUCUCUAUGUAAUCCCGACAUGUGGGCCUUUCUUCCUUAUUUCCUGAUAACCCCCUGCAAAAAUAGACAAACACCAAAACUCGUGGAAUUCUGUCAGAUAAAACCCUAAGUCUAGAUGUUGAUUUCAUUUGGAUCCUUUAAUUGGUUUAUUUAAUAAUUAAAUUUGAUGCUUAAGGACAGUCAACAAACUCCCCCAAACUUACCUCUUGCUCGUCCCUGCGCAAGGAUGAACUCAAGAGUUUCUGCAGUGGUUUCAUUUCUUAGAAGUACACACGCAUUUAAAGAAGAUCUCAUCUCUGAGUUAGAAUAAACUGUUAAGACUUAAAACUUACUUACUUUACCUACACCAUAGGACUUGUAACCGUCACUUCUGUCUUGAGUGGUUAAAAGAUAGAACAGUCUAGCCAAGUGUCAUGUCUCUUAUUCUUGAUCAGCUAUAGCUCUGGGGUUUUUGCAGAUUUUCAAAUAAAACUCAGAAAUUCCUUGUAUGAUUCUCUUAGGUCUCUCUUUUGUGGUAUUUUUGGAUCCUUACCAAGGCAGUGAUGGUAUAUGCCUUCUCUCAAGAUAUGUAGUAUUUGUGGUAUGAAGCAUAGUGACAUUGUCUUCUCUCUCACCCUACUCUAAUAAGGCUUUAAUAUCUGGAGCUCAUAGGUGGGAGAUAAAGUAUACAUACUUACAAGACAUUUAUUGCAUAGUCAAACCAUGGAUCCAGAGAAACAAGUCAAUAAGUCAAAUCAAGAUGUGCAUGUGUGGCGAAUGUAUGGUGUAUGGUGAUGAUGGUGAUAACAAUGGUGAAAGUCUAAUUCUACUUUUGCUCUUUUAAGGGGAUACAUACCUUUCUUGCACUUAGAAGUUUUUUGGGGAGAAUGAGAUGCUCUAUAUUUUCUUUUUCUUACCUCUCAGGUGGGUAUCUUGUACCCCUAAUUCUACUGUCGGACACAUGUCCAUUUUUACCUCUCGUCUCACUUUUUCUUUUCUUCGAGGUUCCGGGCACUUGCCCCUUUUUAUUUCCUCGUAUAUUAUUUUUUUUUUCUUCUUUUUUUUUCUCUUUUUUUUUCUUUCUAGAGCACUCAUCUCCUGAAAUAAUGUAGCAAGUGGUAGUAACCAAAAUAACUGGAGCAUUUAUUUCAUAGGGAAUAACAGGGAUAGGAAAAUGUUUUUGGCUAUUCUCUCCCGGAUUAGGAGUAGAAUAAUUUUGGGUAAAACUGGAGAUAGAAAUGAGUGGAUAUAUGUGGAUGGUACUUCCGGAGUAGAAGUAGCAUGUAUGAGUAAUCGUGCA